UUUUAUCCAUAGCGCCAUUCAUACUUUUCCGUCCAAUAAUGUCUUAUCAUUACAAUUAUUUUUUUUUGGUGUGUGUAUUUUCAGAGCCAUCUUCUUCCCGGAAUGGGGAAACGGGUUGAAAACAAUGGUCCGAAUGGAGAGUCUGCAAUGGUUCGAAGGUAAAAUCUUUUGUUUUCAUGUCGCAAAAUGGUGGACUCACGAAAUUAGAUGGAGGAAGGACGACCGUCCAGUGGAAAGAUAUAACAGAGGAGUAAAACCGGUGGACGAUGCUGAUAUCGAAGAAUUGGACGAAUUAGACAUUCUGUCAUAUUACUCUAUAAUUUUGUAAGUUUAUAUUUAUUGUAAAACAUUUUAACCAUUUUGGUGAUUUAAAUAGAAUUUAAUAUUAUUAUUAUCA
Tarenaya hassleriana is the source of this 397-nucleotide long non-coding RNA. RefSeq lists it as uncharacterized. The transcript is spliced from 2 exons. The record is from RefSeq and is a predicted model, not a curated record. NCBI's taxonomy places the organism in Eukaryota, Viridiplantae, Streptophyta, Magnoliopsida, Brassicales, Cleomaceae.